Long non-coding RNA from Acyrthosiphon pisum (pea aphid), 971 nucleotides. RefSeq lists it as uncharacterized. The transcript is spliced from 4 exons. Lineage: Eukaryota; Metazoa; Arthropoda; Insecta; Hemiptera; Aphididae. The record is from RefSeq and is a predicted model, not a curated record.
AUUUCUACUGUUUCCAACAGUAAAAUUAUUACAGUUCAUCGACUAGUCUAUAUAGCUAUGGUCGUACGUCGCUUUUGUUCGCUAAUAAUUAACACGUUUUAGUCUGAAUUUUUGCCGCAUGUUUGAUUAUAUUCUCAAAAGUAUUUAACUACUACAAAAAUAAAAUUAUCAUGACAACUAAAAAUUUUUACUGGCGUUUAUCUUUUGUUUAUCUUACAAUCUCCACAGUGUCUCCAUACCAAAUAGAAUACUUUUAUAAUAUUUUCACUCAAGAUAAGACUCUUUUAGAUACUGAUAUAAUUACACUUCCAAAUGUACGAGUUAAAAGAUCAGCUGAAUAUAAAAAUAUUGCAGUACCUAUGUAUUUAAUGUCUUAUGAACUGUGGUCAGAGCCGUAAUUAAAGAGCUGGACAGGAUCAUGGGAAGUGGAGUUAAGCCAUAUGUUGGGGUUAAGCUAUGUGUAAAAACAGUUCAUCUCCCAUAGUCCCAUAUGUAAUGAUGCCUCUAAGAAAAAAAAAAGAAAAACCAGGACAGGAUUGGGUAGUCUCAGCGCUUCAAGAAAUAUUUUUCUACCAGCCCAUAAUUUGUUAUAGGUAGUGGCCCACGAUGGCCAACAAUGACCAUAUCACAUUUGUUGACAGUAUACUAUUAUAAUAUAGAUGUAUAUAGAUCAGCCUGUUAUACAAAUUGCGGACAUUUUCUACUAAGAGUCAAAAAUGUAAGCUGCCCUUCGAGAUUUUCUGAAAUACCUACUAGACUGGCCUAUCCAACCCCGGGCUCGCGAUUUUUGUUUGAAAUUGGGGCCUCGUGUUUGAAACAAAAAUGUGUGACAACAAUUAUUUAUGUUCUUAUAUGGUUAUAAAUUAUAACUAAUAGGUAGGUACUCGUAAAUUAGGUGACACUAUUAUUUUUGCCCUGAUCAAGGCGGUAAAUUAUAGUUAUUCUCAACAUCUUUUAUUUAUUUUGAGGUC